AUACGGAGGGUGCAAGCGUUAUUCGGAAUCACUGGGCGGAAAGGACGCGUAGGCGGGUUGGCAAGUCAGAUGUGAAAUCCUACAGCUUAACUGUAGAACUGCAUUUGAAACUGCUAACCUAGAGUAUGGGAGGGGGAGAUGGAAUUAGUGGUGUAGGGGUAAAAUCCGUAGAUAUCACUAGGAAUACCGAAAGCGAAGGCGAUCUCCUGGAACAUAACUGACGCUAAGGCGUGAAAGCGUGGGGAGCAAACAGGAUUAGAAACCCUUGUAGUCC
RNAcentral lists this ribosomal RNA (274 nucleotides) under uncultured bacterium. RNAcentral describes it as "partial 16S ribosomal RNA". It matches the Rfam family "Bacterial small subunit ribosomal RNA", at positions 523 to 796 of the family's 1533-position model. The record is from RNAcentral.